Molecule: ribosomal RNA, 406 nt
Filed under: uncultured bacterium
Lineage: Bacteria
Description: partial 16S ribosomal RNA
Rfam family: Bacterial small subunit ribosomal RNA
Source: RNAcentral
AUUGAACGCUGGCGGCAGGCUUAACACAUGCAAGUCGAGCGAGCGGCGGACGGGUGAGUAAUGUCUGGGAAACUGCCUGAUGGAGGGGGAUAACUACUGGAAACGGUAGCUAAUACCGCAUACUAUCGGAUGAACCCAUAUGGGAUUAGCUAGUAGGUGGGGUAAAGGCUCACCUAGGCGACGAUCUCUAGCUGGUCUGAGAGGAUGAUCAGCCACACUGGGACUGAGACACGGCCCAGACUCCUACGGGAGGCAGCAGUGGGGAAUAUUGCACAAUGGGCGCAAGCCUGAUACAGCCAUGCCGCGUGUAUGAAGAAGGCCUUAGGGUUGUAAAGUACUUUCAGCGGGGAGGCGUUACCCGCAGAAGAAGCACCGGCUAACUCCGUGCCAGCCGCCGCGGUAAUUC